UACGGGGGGGGCAAGCGUUGUUCGGAAUUACUGGGCGUAAAGGGCUCGUAGGCGGCCAACUAAGUCGGAUGUGAAAUCCCCAGGCUUAACCUGGGAACUGCAUCCGAUACUGGAUGGCUUGAAUUCGGGAGAGGGAUGCAGAAUUCCAGGUGUAGCGGUGGAAUGCGUAGAUAUCUGGAGGAAUACCGGUGGCGAAGGCGGCAUCCUGGACCGAGAUUGACGCUGAUGAGCGAAAGCUAGGGGAGCAAACGGG
This 253-nucleotide ribosomal RNA is filed under the name uncultured bacterium. Its description in RNAcentral is "partial 16S ribosomal RNA". It matches the Rfam family "Bacterial small subunit ribosomal RNA", at positions 524 to 776 of the family's 1533-position model. The record is from RNAcentral.